GGACCUGACUGCUAUCGGAUUGCUACUAAGCCAUGCGAGUCAUUGUAGCAAUACAAGGCAUACGGCUCAGUAACGCGUAGUCAACCUAACCUAUGGACGGGAAUAACCUCGGGAAACUGAGAAUAAUGCCCGAUAGAACAUUAUACCUGGAAUGGUUUAUGUUCCAAAUGAUUUAUCGCCGUAGGAUGGGACUGCGGCCUAUCAGUUUGUUGGUGAGGUAAUGGCCCACCAAGACUAUUACAGGUACGGGCUCUGAGAGGAGUAGCCCGGAGAUGGGUACUGAGACACGGACCCAGGCCCUAUGGGGCGCAGCAGGCGAGAAAACUUUGCAAUGUGCGAAAGCACGACAAGGUUAAUCCGAGUGAUUUCUGCUAAAGAAAUCUUUUGUUAGUCCUAGAAACACUAACGAAUAAGGGGUGGGCAAGUUCUGGUGUCAGCC
This 439-nucleotide ribosomal RNA is filed under the name uncultured archaeon. RNAcentral's name for it is "bacterial SSU rRNA". It matches the Rfam family "Archaeal small subunit ribosomal RNA", at positions 19 to 463 of the family's 1478-position model. The record is from RNAcentral.